UAAAUGGCUCUUUUCAGGGCCACCAAAUGUUGAAAGAAUAGAAUCA
Molecule: non-coding RNA, 46 nt
Organism: Daphnia magna
Lineage: Eukaryota; Metazoa; Arthropoda; Branchiopoda; Diplostraca; Daphniidae
Source: Rfam